This 468-nucleotide ribosomal RNA is filed under the name uncultured bacterium. RNAcentral describes it as "partial 16S ribosomal RNA". It matches the Rfam family "Bacterial small subunit ribosomal RNA", at positions 28 to 507 of the family's 1533-position model. The record is from RNAcentral.
GACGAACGCUGGCGGCGUGCUUAACACAUGCAAGUCGAACGGAAAGGCCCUGCUUUUGUGGGGUGCUCGAGUGGCGAACGGGUGAGUAACACGUGAGUAACCUGCCCUUGACUUUGGGAUAAUUUCAGGAAACUGGGGCUAAUACCGGAUAGGAGCUCCUGCUGCAUGGUGGGGGUUGGAAAGUUUCGGCGGUUGGGGAUGGACUCGCGGCUUAUCAGCUUGUUGGUGGGGUAGUGGCUUACCAAGGCUUUGACGGGUAGCCGGCCUGAGAGGGUGACCGGCCACAUUGGGACUGAGAUACGGACCAGACUCCUACGGGAGGCAGCAGUGGGGAAUAUUGCACAAUGGGCGGAAGCCUGAUGCAGCAACGCCGCGUGCGGGAUGACGGCCUUCGGGUUGUAAACCGCUUUCGCCUGUGACGAAGCGUGAGUGACGGUAAUGGGUAAAGAAGCACCGGCUAACUACGUG